UUUAAUGUUUUUUACAUAUUGAGUAUAAUAUUAAUAUACUUUAUUUUGCAAAUUAUUUCAUGUUUAAUUUCGUUUUUAGUUUCUACAGAAGUAUUGGAUGCAAGCGUAAAAUGGUUAGAAACAAAUAGAGAACCAUGGGAAAUGGUCGAAAAUCAUUGGAAAGCUACUGCAACUAUUCGUUUAAAAGACGCUGAAAACAAUCGAAAUAAGUUAAUUUCAGAUAUCUUUGAAAAAUGGCCGAUUUUAAUACACCCUAUGGGCUGGUUAUUAAUUGUUCACGAUUUUCAAUAUUUAUAAUAUUGUACAACCGAAAACGGCAUUAGUCAGUGGCCACAAUUCUUUUCAAAUGUAGCAAAAAUUUGUCCUCUUGAAAAAAAGAAAAUUUUUCGCGCACGUGAAUUAUUUCAAAUAAUAGAAAGUGAUAACAGUGAUGAGUCUAAAGCUAUUGCACAAUUAUGCGCAUUACCGUAUAUGAUUCCUCCCAAAGGAAGAAUAAGAACGAAAGAAGGUCAUUGGAAACCCUCAAUGAUAGAAUGUGAAGAAAGUCUUGUGAUACAUGCAAAGACUGCUGGAGAUAUAACCGAGAUUCGAGAACAACGGAUCGAUGCUAUGUAUCAAAAAGGAUUGACGGUUCAACCCUAUAUAAUUGUCGUAGGACCAACCCUGGCUGAAAUAACAUCAUUUUUUGUAUCCGUUGACAAAGUCUUAUAUAAUAUGACAUCGGCCUUUAAGGCAAUUGAUACGUGCUUCAAGAUAUUUCAUGUAUUAAAUAUUGAAUAUCCAACAGCAAGUAAUCACAUUUGGCUACUAAUUCAACGUGAGUUGUAUAAAUUUACUACAAAAUAUGAUAGAAAUUCUUCAUUCAUUUUAGAAGUAAUAAAUGCAAUGAAAAAGAAUGAAGCAUAAAAAAUAAGUAUAAGUUUAAUAUUUAGCGAUAAGUUGUUUAAAAUACUCAUUGACGUGUGUAUAAUUUUAAGUGUUUAUAAUUUUAAGGAAAUUUUUUAUGAUGUAUUGUUGCCCGUUUUGCUUUGAAUCGUAUGAAUGCAUUACAAGUUUAAAAACUCAUUGUAAAGUUAAACAUACAAAAACACAUUCUAUUUUUCGAUGCCGACAGAAAUUGUCAACAGGAAGAACACAAUUAUCUUCAAUAACGUGUUCUCGUUCCUUUACCGACAUUUAUAGUUUUUUAAAACAUUUAUCCAAAACUCAUUCGAUAAACAGUAAUACUGCAUGCGGAAAUAGUUUAAAAAACAGUAUGGAAAAUAAUAUAUAUCAUCGUAAUAAUACGGAAGAAAUAACAAUUAAUUCCUCACAAUCUAAUAGUAUGAAAGAAAUAACAAUAGAUUCUUCACAAUUAAUGCCAUCUGUUUCUCAUGUCACUAAUAACAGCGAUACUUCUGUUAAUAUCUCGGUUACAGAAUUUGCAGAGAAGAUUGCACAAAGUUCAACCUUAUUUGUUGCAAAUUUAUACUCUCGACCAUCACUACCGCGUGUAUUGUGUCAGGAAAUAAUCGAAUUAAUAAAAAAUCAAUUAAAUUGCGUUCAAAUACUACAAGAAAAAUACAAAUCUAUUGAUCCGAAUCCUCAUCAAGAUUUAAUUGCUAUGUUUAAUAUUUUACAUAAUAAAUUUGAAAACUAUUCUUCCGAAUAUUAAACAAUGUCAUAUUUUAAAUCAUUACAUUCUUUAAUAGAACCGCAAGAAAUAUGUAUUGACGCAUUUAUUGACACCAGUAUUAAAACUAGUAACAAACAACUGCUCGUAAGAAAUAGAAAAAUAUGUAUUGUACCACUUGAAGAAAUGUUGAAGACAUUUCUCGAAUUGCCAAAUGUAUAUAAUAGUAUAAUAACAAACAUUCAAGAAAAUGAGCAAAACGUAAUUAAGAAUAUAUUUCAAAGUG
Molecule: long non-coding RNA, 1898 nt
Filed under: Monomorium pharaonis (pharaoh ant)
Lineage: Eukaryota; Metazoa; Arthropoda; Insecta; Hymenoptera; Formicidae
Description: uncharacterized LOC118646271
Source: RNAcentral